RNAcentral lists this ribosomal RNA (444 nucleotides) under Cervus nippon kopschi (South China sika deer). RNAcentral's name for it is "partial small subunit ribosomal RNA". It matches the Rfam family "Bacterial small subunit ribosomal RNA", at positions 766 to 1406 of the family's 1533-position model. Lineage: Eukaryota; Metazoa; Chordata; Mammalia; Artiodactyla; Cervidae. The record is from RNAcentral.
CCCAAACUGGGAUUAGAUACCCCACUAUGCCUAGCCUUAAACACAAAUAGUUAUGUAAACAAAACUAUUCGCCAGAGUACUACCGGCAAUAGCUUAAAACUCAAAGGACUUGGCGGUGCUUUAUACCCUUCUAGAGGAGCCUGUUCUAUAAUCGAUAAACCCCGAUAAACCUCACCAUUCCUUGCUACUACAGUCUAUAUACCGCCAUCUUCAGCAAACCCUAAAAAGGUACAAAAGUAAGCACAAUCAUAAUACAUAAAAACGUUAGGUCAAGGUGUAACCUAUGGAACGGAAAGAAAUGGGCUACAUUUUUUAAUCUAAGAAAAUCCAACACGAAAGUUAUUAUGAAACUAAUAACCAAAGGAGGAUUUAGCAGUAAACUAAGAAUAGAGUGCUUAGUUGAAUUAGGCCAUGAAGCACGCACACACCGCCCGUCACCCUCCU